UAUCCACCAGGACUCUUCACAAUGGGACCUAGAACUCAGUAUGUAAUAUCACUUCUAUCCCCUCUUGAAUGAGAAAAGCGUUGCCCCAGUAGAUGCGCGGAUCAAGGUUCGGUACCCGGGAUACAAACUUUGUACUUAGCCACCAUCGUUGGUACAUUCAAAUGUUAUCCGGGCCACAAAAAGAAUACGGGAUCUUUUUGGCGUAACCAACACGGCACUAAC
RNAcentral lists this long non-coding RNA (222 nucleotides) under Lathyrus oleraceus (garden pea). RNAcentral's name for it is "Pisum sativum (pea) long non-coding RNA (PSAT_LNC027082)". Lineage: Eukaryota; Viridiplantae; Streptophyta; Magnoliopsida; Fabales; Fabaceae. The record is from RNAcentral.